ACACCUGUACCCAUACCGAACACAGAAGUUAAGCUCUUUAGCGUCGAAUGUAGUUGGGCUUACGCCCUGUGAGACUAGAACGUUGCCAGGC
This 91-nucleotide ribosomal RNA is filed under the name Gemella haemolysans. The record is from RNAcentral. Lineage: Bacteria; Bacillati; Bacillota; Bacilli; Caryophanales; Gemellaceae.